Molecule: ribosomal RNA, 429 nt
Filed under: Fusobacteriota bacterium
Lineage: Bacteria; Fusobacteriati; Fusobacteriota
Description: Fusobacteria bacterium partial 16S ribosomal RNA
Rfam family: Bacterial small subunit ribosomal RNA
Source: RNAcentral
UGGGGAAUAUUGCGCAACGGGCGAAAGCCUGACGCAGCGACGCCGCGUGCGGGAUGAAGGUUUUCGGAUCGUAAACCUCUGUCAGAAGGGAAUAAACCGCACUGUGCUAAUCAGCAGUGCCUUGACGGUACCUUCAAAGGAAGCACCGGCUAACUCCGUGCCAGCAGCCGCGGUAAUACGGAGGGUGCAAGCGUUAAUCGGAAUUACUGGGCGUAAAGCGCACGUAGGCUGCUUUGUAAGUCAGGGGUGAAAUCCCACGGCUCAACCGUGGAACUGCCUUUGAUACUGCUGAGCUUGAAUCCGGGAGAGGGUGGCGGAAUUCCAGGUGUAGGAGUGAAAUCCGAAGAUAUCUGGAGGAACAUCAGUGGCGAAGGCGGCCACCUGGACCGGUAUUGACGCUGAGGUGAGAAAGCGUGGGGAGCAAACAGG